CCCAGACUCCUACGGGAGGCAGCAGUGGGGAAUAUUGGGCAAUGGGCGCAAGCCUGACCCAGCAACGCCGCGUGAAGGAAGAAGGCUUUCGGGUUGUAAACUUCUUUUAAGAGGGAAGAGCAGAAGACGGUACCUCUUGAAUAAGCCACGGCUAACUACGUGCCAGCAGCCGCGGUAAUACGUAGGUGGCAAGCGUUGUCCGGAAUUACUGGGUGUAAAGGGAGCGUAGGCGGGGAUGCAAGUUGGGUGUCAAAACUACCGGCUCAACUGGUAGUCGCACUCAAAACUGCAGCUCUUGAGUGAAGUAGAGGCAGGCGGAAUUCCUAGUGUAGCGGUGAAAUGCGUAGAUAUUAGGAGGAACACCAGUGGCGAAGGCGGCCUGCUGGACGACAACUGACGGUGAGGCGCGAAAGCGUGGGGAGCAAACAGGAUUAGAUACCCGUGUAC
RNAcentral lists this ribosomal RNA (447 nucleotides) under uncultured bacterium. RNAcentral describes it as "partial 16S ribosomal RNA". It matches the Rfam family "Bacterial small subunit ribosomal RNA", at positions 330 to 793 of the family's 1533-position model. The record is from RNAcentral.